Molecule: ribosomal RNA, 852 nt
Filed under: Triticum aestivum (bread wheat)
Lineage: Eukaryota; Viridiplantae; Streptophyta; Magnoliopsida; Poales; Poaceae
Description: partial small subunit ribosomal RNA
Source: RNAcentral
AACGGCGAACGGAAAGUACAUUGGCUCUCGUGGGAGAAGAUGUGUGCCCCUAAGAGGGAGGGCAGCUUGGGGUUCUGGGACCCGCAAGCUUUCAACCAGGCCCUGCUUGCCAAGCAAGCAUGGCGGCUCUUAACUUCACCAGCAUCGCUGGUUGCUCGUGUUUUGAAGGCUAGGUAUUUCCAGGACUCCUCCAUCCUUGCUGCCACUUGCCCCUCAAAUGCUUCAUACACCUUUCGUAGCAUCUUACAUGGAAGGGACUUGCUGCGGGAGGGGCUUGUUUGGAGGAUCGGUGAUGGGUCUAGGGUCAACAUACAUCACGAAAAUUGGAUCCCGAGGAACGGGUGCCUGCGACCACUAGGUCAGCAGUACCUCCAGGGAGUUACGAGAGUUGCGGAUAUGUUAACUGAAGAUGGCACGGACUGGAACGUUGCGAGGGUGGAUGAGAUGUUCUCGCCCUCGGAUGCUGCUGAUAUUAAGCAAAUCGCUGUGGGUGGACCGGGCACAGACGAUUUUUUGGCUUGGAAUUUCACAAAAAAAUGGCGCGUUCAGCGUUCGUUCAGCCUUUCACUUGAGGAUGUCUAUGGACCGAAGGAGGUUAGGACAACCAGCCUCGCCGUCCUCUGUAAACAAGCACAAAGCAUUUCUCACCCUUUGGGACACCAAUGCUCCGGGGAAGGUAAAAGUUCACUUUUGGCGUCUCCUUCAGAACGGUCUUGCUGUGGGUGCGGAGCUCCACCGUCGGCGCAUCAAAGGGGGCGUGUUCUGCCCAGCCUGUGGAAGGGAGGAGACCAUCCAGCAUCGGUUUUGGUCUUGCCCCCAUUCCCGCUUGUUCUGGACGCUGCUUCAAAGUGA